UAGUUUCUGGGGUGUGCGACACUCCUAUCAUUUUGAACCUACAUUUACUUUUAUGGGAUUCCUACAUCGCGUAGAAAUAUGUCAGGCCUCCAUUAAGCAGUGGAAGACAGACGGCUGCGCUGCGGUUACCCACCUAGCUUUGCUAGGAGUCAAAAUAUAGGAAACGGCACUCUGGAUAUGAA
Molecule: non-coding RNA, 182 nt
Filed under: Lachnospiraceae bacterium
Lineage: Bacteria; Bacillati; Bacillota; Clostridia; Lachnospirales; Lachnospiraceae
Description: 6S RNA
Rfam family: 6S / SsrS RNA
About the family: E. coli 6S RNA was the first non coding RNA to be sequenced, but its function was unknown until recently. It consists of 184 nucleotides that fold into an extended hairpin structure with a large single-stranded internal bulge.
Source: RNAcentral